AUGAACUGUAUGAGACAAAAAGGCUUCCGGGGAUUUUCCUUUGCAUGUGGUUUGCCUGGAAAUGCUCUGAAACACAACCUUCCUGGAGAUGGAAAUUCCCCAAAGGGAAGAAAGUUGGCCAAGACCCUACCAGGCUACAAAUCCUCACUCUACAUUCUUUCUUUUCUGAAGCCCAGUCUCAACUGUAUGACUGUUUCUGCAGCUUCAAUUGGCAUAUACCUACCUCAGUCUAGUUCAUCCUUGGCGUAUGAUAAUUACUUUGUGUACCUUGGUUGUAUUGAAAUUCUAGGCUAAUGGCAGGUUUGGUGGUUUAGAGAGGUUCCUACCUCCCACCCCACAGACGUUGAUGUCACCACUAGGCAGGGAGGGAGGAAGGGAAUUGAUUAGCAAUUAGCUUUUUCAUAUAAUUUAUGUUUUUAUGUAAAGAAAUAAGAAGGCUUGAAACAGACAGUCUGAGUGUGGUGUUUCUCCACCCUUGCAGGAGAUGAGAGGGCACACCAAGAUCAUAUUGAAUAAGAGAGGUGAAGCCUUUCUCUCUGCCUAGAAAUGGAAAGGAGUCAAUUAAGUCUUACUUCUUCAAUCCAAGUCCCUCCUCUAGUCUUACUAAGUAAGAGAUUUCUCUACUUUUUGCAACCGAAAGUGGUUAUGGCCAAAUUGUGACUGGCAGAAAGAAUUAGGGUAGAGGGGAGGAGACUGGUGCUAAGAAUGAGAUAAAAGGAAAAGACCCCAGCAGAAGAUGAGAUUUGAGCUGAUUUUUGAAGGAAACCAGGAGGCAAAGAUCCAGGUAUGGAAGACCUGUGGAGAGGCAUGGAGUCUGAGGUAAGUAUCCUGUUGGAAGAAUAGCAAGAUCAAUUUUUGGUGAACUGGAGUCAUUGCUCACUUAUAGUAGUUGCUGGAGCAGGGAAAGAAAGUCUCACACAAUUUCAGAAUUAAGACUUCUAUUUCCUGGGUCUGGACUUGACCAUAGGGUUGGCCAAAACAACUUUAUAGAGAAGUAUGUACCUUAGGCUCUGUCUGCCUAGAAUCCCAUGACCCUUUCCCCAACUUAAUGGUAUCCCUUCUUUCUUUCCUACUUAGGAGCCCUGUGAUUCUUUUAUCUAGGAUAUGCCACUGGGACUUUUGGAAUGCCAAGAGUCAGAGUACGUGUUUUCCCUCUUUCUAAGAACACUUGAAAGUCUCUUCCUAUGCUUUUGGAGACAGCUUUGGAUUGCUUUUAGAGGAAGGAAAGAAGGAAUGGGCAUAAGAAAGAAGAUGAACCAGUGAUAGGGAAAUUGUGUUUGGUGAAUGAGAGCUGAGUCAUAAUUUCCUGGCCUUACUUUCAUAUGUGCCUACUAGGUUUUUAUUUUGAUGAAUUCAUUUGUUUCCAUGGACGUUUUUGUUUAUUUUGCUUGCUUUAUAGAACUAUUAAAUAUCAAAGCUGAAAAAGAACUUGAGUAGCCAUCUAAUUUCACUUCUAAUUUUACAUAUUAGAGGAUUACAACAGGAAAGCAUUUUAGAAAAGGUCACAGAGCUAGUAAAUAUUAGAGCAGGGACAGGAACCCAGUGAUGUCCAUCCCCAAUGUUAUCUCCUAUUCAUUAUCUUUUUUUUUUUUAUUCUCUGCUAUAAACAGAGUUCCCAUUAUGAUUCCUUGUUUGAUCUGUGUAAGGAUGAUAUUAGAAAAUAAGUAUUCUUUUAUUAGUUCAGGGAUAAGAAGUAAAGUGGCUGCUUGAGAAAAGAACUGGAGUUUGAAGCAGAACUGAGAGAGCGUGUUAAUUUCAGCUGCUGACAGUUAUAACCGUUUUUCUUGUCAAUUACUCUCUCUGGCAGUUGGCAGACACACACUCUCAGAGACUCUUUCUCAAGGCUGGAGGAGGUAACAUCUUUGCCUCUCUCUCUGCCUGAGGGAAAGAUCUGAAGGAGUUCAGUGUUUUCCUUUCCCAAAUUGGGAAACAUUAGAGACUAUUGUGGUUUUAUAGAUUGCUUUAUAUCUGAGAAGACCAAAGAAAAACUUGGUCUUUGGUUUGGACUCUUAGUCUGUUAAGACUCAGAGUCUUAACUUGAUUCUUGUUGAGACUCAACCAGCUAGCCUUUGUUAUUCAUAAUUUGAAGGUGAAGUUAAGAUUUAUAAGGAUAUUAGUGGUAGUUUUUAUUUAGAUAGCAUAAAUUUGGGUUAGUCAGAUCAGGGAGGAUUAGUGUAGUCUGUGGAAUACAGGAGAAGCGGUUCCUUGUGGAACCUGGGAGUUUAUUUGAGUGGAUUUAGAAACCUUUAGAAUUAGAAAUCCUUCUUUAUCCUUAUAUAUUUCAAUAAAUACUUUAUUUUUAUAAUAAGAGUCUCUUUA
Long non-coding RNA from Monodelphis domestica (gray short-tailed opossum), 2319 nucleotides. Lineage: Eukaryota; Metazoa; Chordata; Mammalia; Didelphimorphia; Didelphidae. The record is from Ensembl.